CAGAGUAUCAAUUGGAGGGCAAGUCUGGUGCCAGCAGCCGCGGUAAUUCCAGCUCCAAUAGCGUAUAUUAAAAUUGUUGCAGUUAAAAAGCUCGUAGUUGAAUUUCUGCUGCAUUGCUUUUGCUCCUUUACGAGUCUUUGCAUUGUGGCUUAUUUCGGACUUUGUUUUACAAUGUCCGGAUGUUUACUUUGAGAAAAUUAGAGUGCUCAAAGCAGGCUUUCGCCUUGAAUAGUUUAGCAUGGAAUAAUAAAGUAGGACUUUGGUUCUAUUUUGUUGGUUUUAGGUACCAAAGUAAUGGUUAAUAGGAACAGUUGGGGGCAUUCGUAUUUAACUGUCAGAGGUGAAAUUCUUAGAUUUGUUAAAGACGAACUACUGCGAAAGCAUUUGCCAAGGAUGUUUUCAUUAAUCAAGAACGAAAGUUAGGGGAUCGAAGACGAUCAGAUACCGUCGUAGUCCUAACCAUAAACUAAUA
This 472-nucleotide ribosomal RNA is filed under the name Theileria ovis. RNAcentral describes it as "SSU rRNA". It matches the Rfam family "Eukaryotic small subunit ribosomal RNA", at positions 537 to 1042 of the family's 1831-position model. The record is from RNAcentral. Lineage: Eukaryota; Apicomplexa; Aconoidasida; Piroplasmida; Theileriidae.